This 407-nucleotide ribosomal RNA is filed under the name uncultured bacterium. RNAcentral describes it as "partial 16S ribosomal RNA". It matches the Rfam family "Bacterial small subunit ribosomal RNA", at positions 30 to 526 of the family's 1533-position model. The record is from RNAcentral.
AUUGAACGCUGGCGGCAGGCCUAACACAUGCAAGUCGAGCGGAUCGGCGGACGGGUAAGUAAUGCCUAGGAAUCUGCCUGGUAGUGGGGGAUAACGUCCGGAACCGGGCGCUAAUACCGCUUACUAUCAGAUGCGCCUAGGUCGGAUUAGCUAGUUGGUGGGGUAAAGGCCUACCAAGGCGAAGAUCCUUAACUGGUCUGAGAGGAUGAUCAGUCACACCGGAACUGAGACAAGGUCCAGACUCCUACGGGAGGCAGCAGUGGGGAAGAUUGGACAAUGGGCGAAAGCCUGAUCCAGCCAUGCCGCGGGUGUGAAGAAGGUCUUCGGAUUGUAAAGCACUUUAAGUUGGGAGGCGUUACCAACAGAAUAAGCACCGGCUAACUUCGUGCCAGCAGCCGCGGUAAUAC